GAAAUGCGAUAAGUAAUGUGAAUUGCAGAAUUCAGUGAAUCAUCGAAUCUUUGAACGCACCUUGCGCUCCUUGGUAUUCCUUGGAGCAUGCCUGUUUGAGUAUCAUGAAAUCUUCAAAGUAAAUCUUUUGUUAACUCAAUUGGUUUCUACUUUGGUAUUGGAGGUCUUUGCAGCUUCACACCUGCUCCUCUUUGUCCAUUAGCUGGAUCUCAGUGUUAUGCUUGGUUCCACUCGGCGUGAUAAGUUAUCUAUCGCUGAGGACACUGUAAAAGGUGGCCAAGGUAAAUGCAGAUGAACCGCUUCUAAUAGUCCAUUGACUUGGACAAUACUUUUAUGAUCUGAUCUCAAAUCAGGUAGGACUACCCGCUGAACUUAAGC
Molecule: unclassified non-coding RNA, 378 nt
Filed under: plant metagenome
Description: partial contains 5.8S ribosomal RNA, internal transcribed spacer 2, and large subunit ribosomal RNA
Rfam family: 5.8S ribosomal RNA (bases 1-105)
Source: RNAcentral